GCAUCUGGAGGUGACAGUCAAAUGACGCUCCGGCGCCCUGUUUCCCAUGAUACGGCUCUUUCUGUUGCUCUGCUCUGCUGUGACUUAGUCAAGGAACCUCACCAGAGCUGGACAGAAGGAUCUGUCUGAUCUUGGCUGCUCACCUUCCUAACCAACCUGCCCCGUCUCUUAGUGGACUCUAGAUGCAAUCAAGUUGAUAGCUGAGAUGAACAUCACACAGUGAGAGCCCAAACUCUGUAACCUCACGAAUCCUCUAUGGACUCUGUGAUCUCAAUAUCCCAAACUAGAUUUGCCACAGGAAUAGAACUCUGGCUAACAAAAGAAGGUCGGACACACGGGAAAACACCAGCAGGGCACAUACAGAGGGCAGAUCAUGUGAACAGGUAACAAGAGGGCAUCUGUCUGCAAGCCAAGGGAAGAGGCCUCUCACAAGCCAAACUCGUCAACACCGCGGUCUCAGGUUUCCAGUUUCCAGACCUGUAAGAAACUGCCUAGGAUAAAUCAGCUGGUUUCCAUUGCUAUGGCUGGUGCCGGGAAGUACAGAGCCAAAUGACCAGUUGGAGCCACCACAAUGACUGGAGACAUGAGACCAUGGCAACCAGACCUGAACAGCAGCAGGUGGCAGGCACCAUGAAUGGAGUGGAAUAUGUACUCUCUGGAGGCAACACAGUAGUGUCUGGAGUCCCUUAUGCAGGGGCUGGGGAUAUGGCAACAGUAGCAGGACCCAGCAGGAUUCCUGAAUCUGAGGACCUGGCCCCUGGCCCAGGCUCCCUGAGAAGCUCCUAGGAGAGUCACCCAGCAGGCAUCGGCCUGGACGGCUGUGGCCAGCCUUACUAACAGAGGCCUCCAAGAGCAUCCACCAAGAUGAGCAGAGGCCAAAGUCAUAGAUCCCAGAAGCCACGGAGUCUCAGAGUUCUGCCUCCCGCCAAAGACAGAAACAUGGUCUCGGUGACAUUUGCCGUAUUGGUUAUGACUAUUUCCUAAAAGAGACAGAACCCUCACCUAACCUCCAAGUUAUCCCAAGACGCCAAGUUCUAACUUACUUCUCCAAACCACUAAGACCCAUUUCUCUCUUGGUCCCCCAGCACUUGGGACUGGUAUUCUUAAAGACUCUUCCCAGA
This is a non-coding RNA of Myodes glareolus (Bank vole), 1121 nucleotides long. The record is from RefSeq and is a predicted model, not a curated record. NCBI's taxonomy places the organism in Eukaryota, Metazoa, Chordata, Mammalia, Rodentia, Cricetidae.